RNAcentral lists this ribosomal RNA (253 nucleotides) under uncultured bacterium. RNAcentral describes it as "partial 16S ribosomal RNA". It matches the Rfam family "Bacterial small subunit ribosomal RNA", at positions 524 to 776 of the family's 1533-position model. The record is from RNAcentral.
UACGGGGGGGGCAAGCGUUGUUCGGAAUUACUGGGCGUAAAGGGCGCGUAGGCGGCCCGCUAAGUCAGACGUGAAAUCCCUCGGCUCAACCGGGGAACUGCGUCUGAUACUGGCAGGCUUGAAUCCGGGAGAGGGAUGUGGAAUUCCAGGUGUAGCGGUGAAAUGCGUAGAUAUCUGGAGGAACACCGGUGGCGAAGGCGGCAUCCUGGACCGGCAUUGACGCUGAGGAGCGAAAGCCAGGGGAGCAAACGGG